RNAcentral lists this ribosomal RNA (1025 nucleotides) under Chryseobacterium taiwanense. RNAcentral's name for it is "bacterial SSU rRNA". It matches the Rfam family "Bacterial small subunit ribosomal RNA", at positions 283 to 1311 of the family's 1533-position model. The record is from RNAcentral. Lineage: Bacteria; Pseudomonadati; Bacteroidota; Flavobacteriia; Flavobacteriales; Weeksellaceae.
UUAGGGGGCCUGAGAGGGUGAUCCCCCCACACUGGUACUGAGACACGGGCCCAGACUCCUACGGGAGGCAGCAGUGAGGAAUAUUGGACAAUGGGUUAGCGCCUGAUCCAGCCAUCCCGCGUGAAGGACGACGGCCCUUAUGGGUUGUAAACUUCUUUUGUACAGGGAUAAACCUAUUUACGUGUAAAUAGCUGAAGGUACUGUACGAAUAAGCACCGGCUAACUCCGUGCCAGCAGCCGCGGUAAUACGGAGGGUGCAAGCGUUAUCCGGAUUUAUUGGGUUUAAAGGGUCCGUAGGCGGAUCUGUAAGUCAGUGGUGAAAUCUCACAGCUUAACUGUGAAACUGCCAUUGAUACUGCAGGUCUUGAGUAAGGUAGAAGUGGCUGGAAUAAGUAGUGUAGCGGUGAAAUGCAUAGAUAUUACUUAGAACACCAAUUGCGAAGGCAGGUCACUAUGUCUUAACUGACGCUGAUGGACGAAAGCGUGGGGAGCGAACAGGAUUAGAUACCCUGGUAGUCCACGCUGUAAACGAUGCUAACUCGUUUUUGGGUUUUCGGAUUCAGAGACUAAGCGAAAGUGAUAAGUUAGCCACCUGGGGAGUACGAACGCAAGUUUGAAACUCAAAGGAAUUGACGGGGGCCCGCACAAGCGGUGGAUUAUGUGGUUUAAUUCGAUGAUACGCGAGGAACCUUACCAAGGCUUAAAUGGGAAUUGAUCGGUUUAGAAAUAGACCUUCCUUCGGGCAAUUUUCAAGGUGCUGCAUGGUUGUCGUCAGCUCGUGCCGUGAGGUGUUAGGUUAAGUCCUGCAACGAGCGCAACCCCUGUUACUAGUUGCUACCAUUAAGUUGAGGACUCUAGUAAGACUGCCUACGCAAGUAGAGAGGAAGGUGGGGAUGACGUCAAAUCAUCACGGCCCUUACGCCUUGGGCCACACACGUAAUACAAUGGCCGGUACAGAGGGCAGCUACACAGCGAUGUGAUGCAAAUCUCGAAAGCCGGUCUCAGUUAGGAUUGGAGUCUGCAAC